GAUGAACGCUGGCGGCGUGCCUAAUACAUGCAAGUCGAACGCGCCGACGAGGGAAUUGGUUCCUUUCAGCGCGCGUCGCGCGCGGGUGAGACACACGUAGGAAACCCAUCCUUCAGCGGGGGAUAACCGUCAGAAAGGAUCAAAAAUACCACAAUGUUGUGCCCGUCGCAUGGCUGGAGUGGGAAACGCGGCUUCGGCUGUCACUGAAGGAUUGUCCCCUGGUGCAUUAGCUAGACGGUGGGGUAACGGCCUACCGUGGCGUUGAUGCAUAGCCGACCUGGGAGGGUGAUCGGCCACAUUGGGACUGAGACACGGUCCAAACUCCUACGGGAGGCAGCAGUAGGGAAUCUUCCGCAAUGGACGAAAGUCUGACGGAGCAACGCCGCGUGUGUGAAGAAGGUCUUCGGAUCGUAAAGCACUGUUAUCAGGGAAGAACAGCUUUGGGAGUAACUGUUGUAGGUUUGACGGUAACUGAUCAGAAAGCCACGGCUAACUACGUG
Molecule: ribosomal RNA, 500 nt
Filed under: uncultured bacterium
Lineage: Bacteria
Description: partial 16S ribosomal RNA
Rfam family: Bacterial small subunit ribosomal RNA
Source: RNAcentral